This 1243-nucleotide long non-coding RNA is filed under the name Pan troglodytes (chimpanzee). RNAcentral's name for it is "long non-coding RNA NONPTRT000247". The record is from RNAcentral. Lineage: Eukaryota; Metazoa; Chordata; Mammalia; Primates; Hominidae.
CCGACGUGGGCUGGGGUAAAGGGGAGAAGGGCAGAGAGAGGAACUCACGCACCGAGACGUGAGAAGAGGCAGACAAAGUUAGCGCCACGUGGGGCUAGGGCGGGAGGCCGGGUGGGGCUAGGGUGGGAGGGAAAGAGGGUCUCUGGAUUGGGAGAAAGGAGGGGUGCCUGGGAGACACAGAGACUGAGGGCCAAAAGGACAGAGAUGGAGGAAGACGACAGAGACACCGGAAGAAAAGGAAUACAGCCAGCGACAGAAACACAGAAGGGGAAAUCAGGAGGAAGGAAAUGUACAAGGAGGUGUGCUGGGGCUCUUCCAUCACCUGGCUUCAUCCAGAUAGAGCUGGGCACCAGCAAGAACCAAAACAGAAAAAUCAGGAGACUCAAGGGCCAGAGUUUGCUCCUGCUCUAGCGGUGGAUUCCUGAGAGGCAAUGGGAGUACAUAUUCCAGAUGAAUUGACCCUGGCCACAAAUGUCCUCUCCAGACACCUAUAAAUAUCCCAUCUCCAAGGUUCCUUGUAAGAAAUAUAUGAUUGGAUCCCAGGAUCUGUGGAGGACCUCUCCCGGCUCCUCCCCACAUUUUAGGAAAAUCCUGCCGGUUUAGGAUUACCAGCCAGAGGUCCAUGCCCCAAAGAAGCCACUCACAAACACUGAUGGUUGUUGGCGACUAAGCUGCAUCACUUGAUUUGGAUUACAGAAAGGAACGCCCGAGAGAUUUUGUUUGUUUUUAUUUGGGGAGAAUGAAGGAGGAGGGAGAUUUUAGACUGAAUCGUUCUAGAGUAUUUGACGACUACAGCUCCUCUCUCUUUGUACUACGGAGACCCUGCUUAUAGCCCCCAACAGGAAAUCCUCAUCUGCAGUUGCCAGACAGCCAGAAUAUUUCCACCUGUGCCAGAACAAGACAGAAGACCCCAGGAGAUUCUUCCUGGGGACAGGUCUCAAGCAGACCCAAUCCCCCAUACAGAGAAUUUCUUAGAUGAAAACAGCCUCAGGCCCUUAGACCCAGCCUCCGGUCUCUCUUCUGGGCCCACACCAGCACAACACCCUGGAGAAGCCCCAAGCCUGCACAAGUACCAAACCCACCAGGGAACAGCACCACCAUCCUCGCCUCUACUGGAGAAGAGGGGUGUUCCUGCCUCCCCAUCCUAGGCCUCAGGCCUGGGAUCAGGGUCCACUCGAGCUGGGACUGCACUAGCCAGGAAGGCUGCCGCCUUCCUCCUGCGGGAGCUCCAGGCACAGUCUGC